UACGGAAGGGGCUAGCGUUGUUCGGAAUCAUUGGGCGUAAAGGGCGCGUAGGUGGUCUUGUGUGUCUUCCGUGAAAGCCCACGGCUCAACCGUGGUGUGUCGGGAGAAACUGCAGGACUUGAGGCUGGGAGGGGCUGGUGGAAUUCCCUGUGUAGCGGUGAAAUGCGUAGAGAUGGGGGAGAACACUCGUGGCGAAGGCGGCCAGCUAGACCAGUUCUGACACUGAGGCGCGACAGCGUGGGGAGCAAACAGG
Molecule: ribosomal RNA, 253 nt
Filed under: uncultured bacterium
Lineage: Bacteria
Description: partial 16S ribosomal RNA
Rfam family: Bacterial small subunit ribosomal RNA
Source: RNAcentral